RNAcentral lists this long non-coding RNA (1816 nucleotides) under Zonotrichia albicollis (white-throated sparrow). RNAcentral's name for it is "lncRNA (ENSZALG00000007151.1)". Lineage: Eukaryota; Metazoa; Chordata; Aves; Passeriformes; Passerellidae. The record is from RNAcentral.
AUUUAAGAAUUGAGCAGCUGCACAUACAGUGUGAGUUAUAUCUCACAGCCAAUUAAACAAGUAGCAUAAAAGAGCUGUAUUUUAAAUUGUGUUUGAUUGUGUUACAAAAGUGACAUGUCCAUUUGUUUUCACUGAAAAUGUGGCUAGGAAUUGGAAGGAAUCCCCUAGGGCAGUGGUGGAGUUACCAUCCCUUGAAGUGCUCAAGAAACAACUGAAGGGGCACAUCAGCCCAGCACAGAGCAGAGGCAUCCAGCCUUGCCCAGUCAUGGAUUUCCUGCCUGUGGGAAGAUCCAACCUGCGGUGAAUCCCCAGCAGUUUGUGGCUCUGUGAUGUCCUGAUCCCUUUGUCCCUUUGUCUUCUCCAGGUUUUGUUCCAGCCUGUGCUCUGGCUCACUGCAAAUCCACCAGGCCAUGCUUGAGACUUUUUGGCUGUUACUGGCUGCUUUUCUUCUGCCCUUUUUCCCUUUGUGCCCUGCUAAUGCAGUCACCUCCCCUGAAGUGGCCGAGGUUGUUUUUGCUGCCAGGGGAACGAGGGCACACAGAGCCCUCUGUGCCCAGAGCGCUCGCCUUGGCCCAGGCACAAAUGGGAGCUUUGCUUUCCUUUCCUCCUGCUCAGAGGGCACCACCAAGGAGGGGUUUGGCCAUGGGAACUGGAAUGGCUUUGGGCUCAGUAAGAAGGACUCACUGUUUGCAGGCUCAGUGUUAUUUCCCACAGCACACUGUUGCUUUUGAAUGGCAUGCCAGGAUCUGGGAAGGAAGGAGGAGGAGAGAGGGUGAGUCCCUGCCUUCCUUUUCUCAAUCAGUUUCUCUUUUUUAAAGGUACUUUUUGGAAAAGAAAGCCUUCUUUAUAUGUAUUACUGCUAUACAUCUAUAUGUCUGUCUGUACAGAAAGCUGCAUGGAAUAAUUGAGCUUUACACCUUCCAGAAUUGCUGCCACUAAAUUUCCUAAAUUUCUCCUUUUAUUUCUUAAAAAAACCAGGAAGAUUUAAGAAUUCAGAAACAACACAAACAUUUCCCUACCUGAACCUUCCUGGUGAUCAAAAUUGGAGAGGAUUUUCCAAACCUGAGUUCUGACACAAACACCCACUGGGGUCUUUGUACAUCCCCGUGUUCCUUUCUAGAGCUCUCCUGUGCAUGGAGAAUUCCAAGCAGGGUGGGGUGAAUUGGGCUGUGUGUAACAAACAGGCAGGGCUGAGGUGGCUCCUGAGCUUUGCAAAGGGAUAAAGCAGCACAGAACUCCCGGCUCUGAUUUCCUCGGCAGACAGGAGGCAGACAGGAGGAACGAGCUGCUGCCUCUGUCACCCAUUUCCCUGUGGUACCAACCUUCAAACAAUCCCAAAAAUCGGAGCUGUGCUUCUCCUGGGCCCAGGGAAGGGAGGGAAAGGCAGAGCCACCGGUUCUGUUCCCUUGCGGCCACUGAGGGGAGCUGCUCGUUGGCAAACUGGGCUGUGAGACCCAGGGGCUCCAUCCCCCACAACUGGUUCGUGCUCUUUGUGUUACACCCACUGUGUGCUGCACCAAUCCUGAUUUCAACUUUGCUUUUGUCCUCCAGGGUGAAUAACUGCAUUGGAUUUUCUAACUACAAAUUCUUUCUACUGUUCUUAGCCUAUUCUUUGUUGUAUUGCUUGUAUAUUGCUGCAACAGUCUUCAAGUAUUUCAUUAAGUAUUGGACAGUAAGUCAUGAAAUCCGGUUACUUUUUCAUCUGCUCUCAGUCUCGUGGGCUUUGGUGACUCUCGGUGCUCUGUUGCUCUCAGGCAGUGGAGGGGCUGCAUUUUCCUGGGAGGUGUUUCCUGGGCCCUUUGGGAAUCCACCUCCU